UAACUCCGAGCACACGGCCGUCAUCAGCCUCUGCUCAGGAAUGCUGGGCACAUUCCGGUCUCAUGAUGGGGAUUAUUUUAUUGAACCACUACAGUCCAUGGAUGAACAAGAAGAUGAAGAGGAACAAAACAAACCCCACAUCAUUUAUAGGCGCAGCGCCCCCCAGAGAGAGCCCUCAACAGGAAGGCAUGCAUGUGACACCUCAGAACACAAAAAUAGGCACCGUAAAGACAAGAAGAAAACCAGAGCAAGAAAAUGGGGAGAAAGGAUUAACCUGGCUGAUGACAUGGCAGCAUUAAACAGCGGCUUAGCAACAGAGGCAUUUUCUGCUUAUGGUAAUAAGACGGACAACACAAGAGAAAAGAGGACCCACAGAAGGACAAAACGUUUUUUAUCCUAUCCACGGUUUGUAGAAGUCUUGGUGGUGGCAGACAACAGAAUGGUUUCAUACCAUGGAGAAAACCUUCAACACUAUAUUUUAACUUUAAUGUCAAUUGUAGCCUCUAUCUAUAAAGACCCAAGUAUUGGAAAUUUAAUUAAUAUUGUUAUUGUGAACUUAAUUGUGAUUCAUAAUGAACAGGAUGGGCCUUCCAUAUCUUUUAAUGCUCAGACAACAUUAAAAAACUUUUGCCAGUGGCAGCAUUCGAAGAACAGUCCAGGUGGAAUCCAUCAUGAUACUGCUGUUCUCUUAACAAGACAGGAUAUCUGCAGAGCUCACGACAAAUGUGAUACCUUAGGCCUGGCUGAACUGGGAACCAUUUGUGAUCCCUACAGAAGCUGUUCUAUUAGUGAAGAUAGUGGAUUGAGUACAGCUUUUACGAUCGCCCAUGAGCUGGGCCACGUGUUUAACAUGCCUCAUGAUGACAACAACAAAUGUAAAGAAGAAGGAGUUAAGAGUCCCCAGCAUGUCAUGGCUCCAACACUGAACUUCUACACCAACCCCUGGAUGUGGUCAAAGUGUAGUCGAAAAUAUAUCACUGAGUUUUUAGACACUGGUUAUGGCGAGUGUUUGCUUAACGAACCUGAAUCCAGACCCUACCCUUUGCCUGUCCAACUGCCAGGCAUCCUUUACAACGUGAAUAAACAAUGUGAAUUGAUUUUUGGACCAGGUUCUCAGGUGUGCCCAUAUAUGAUGCAGUGUAGACGGCUCUGGUGCAAUAACGUCAACGGAGUACACAAAGGCUGCCGGACUCAGCACACACCCUGGGCCGAUGGGACGGAGUGCGAGCCUGGAAAGCACUGCAAGUAUGGAUUUUGUGUUCCCAAAGAAAUGGAUGUCCCUGUGACAGAUGGAUCCUGGGGAAGUUGGAGUCCCUUUGGAACCUGCUCCAGAACAUGUGGAGGAGGCAUCAAAACAGCCAUUCGAGAGUGCAACAGACCAGAACCAAAAAAUGGUGGAAAAUACUGUGUAGGACGUAGAAUGAAAUUUAAGUCCUGCAACACGGAGCCAUGUCUCAAGCAGAAGCGAGACUUCCGAGAUGAACAGUGUGCUCACUUUGACGGGAAGCAUUUUAACAUCAAUGGUCUGCUUCCCAAUGUGCGCUGGGUCCCUAAAUACAGUGGAAUUCUGAUGAAGGACCGGUGCAAGUUGUUCUGCAGAGUGGCAGGGAACACAGCCUACUAUCAGCUUCGAGACAGAGUGAUAGAUGGAACUCCUUGUGGCCAGGACACAAAUGAUAUCUGUGUCCAGGGCCUUUGCCGGCAAGCUGGAUGCGAUCAUGUUUUAAACUCAAAAGCCCGGAGAGAUAAAUGUGGGGUUUGUGGUGGCGAUAAUUCUUCAUGCAAAACAGUGGCAGGAACAUUUAAUACAGUACAUUAUGGUUACAAUACUGUGGUCCGAAUUCCAGCUGGUGCUACCAAUAUUGAUGUGCGGCAGCACAGUUUCUCAGGGGAAACAGAUGAUGACAACUACUUAGCUUUAUCAAGCAGUAAAGGUGAAUUCUUGCUAAAUGGAAACUUUGUUGUCACAAUGGCCAAAAGGGAAAUUCGCAUUGGGAAUGCUGUGGUAGAGUACAGUGGGUCCGAGACUGCCGUAGAAAGAAUUAACUCAACAGAUCGCAUUGAGCAAGAACUUUUGCUUCAGGUUUUGUCGGUGGGAAAGUUAUACAACCCCGACGUACGCUAUUCUUUCAAUAUUCCAAUUGAAGAUAAACCUCAGCAGUUUUACUGGAACAGUCAUGGGCCGUGGCAAGCAUGCAGUAAACCCUGCCAAGGGGAACGGAAACGAAAACUUGUUUGCACCAGGGAAUCUGAUCAGCUUACUGUUUCUGAUCAAAGAUGCGAUCGGCUGCCCCAGCCUGGACCCAUUACUGAACCCUGCGGCACAGACUGUGACCUGAGGUGGCAUGUUGCCAGCAGGAGUGAAUGUAGUGCCCAGUGUGGCUUGGGUUACCGCACAUUGGACAUCUACUGUGCCAAAUAUAGCAGGCUGGAUGGGAAGACCGAGAAGGUUGAUGACGGUUUUUGCAGCAGUCAUCCCAAACCAAGCAACCGUGAAAAAUGCUCAGGGGAAUGUAACACGGGUGGCUGGCGCUAUUCUGCCUGGACUGAAUGUUCUAAAAGCUGUGAUGGUGGGACCCAGAGAAGAAGGGCUAUUUGUGUCAAUAACCGAAAUGAUGUACUGGAUGACAGCAAAUGCACACAUCAAGAGAAAGUUACCAUUCAGAGGUGCAAUGAGUUCCCUUGUCCACGGUGGAAAUCUGGAGACUGGUCAGAGUGCUUGGUCACCUGUGGAAAAGGGCAUAAGCACCGCCAGGUCUGGUGUCAGUUUGGUGAAGAUCGAUUAAAUGAUAGAAUGUGUGACCCUGAGACCAAGCCAACAUCUAUGCAGACUUGUCAGCAGCCGGAAUGUGCAUCCUGGCAGGCGGGUCCCUGGGGACAGUGCAGUGUCACUUGUGGACAGGGAUACCAGCUGAGAGCAGUGAAAUGCAUCAUUGGGACUUAUAUGUCAGUGGUAGAUGACAAUGACUGUAAUGCAGCAACUAGACCAACUGAUACCCAGGACUGUGAAUUACCAUCUUGUCAUCCUCCUCCAGCUGCCCCGGAAACGAGGAGAAGCACAUACAGUGCACCAAGAACCCAGUGGCGAUUUGGGUCUUGGACCCCAUGCUCAGCCACUUGUGGGAAAGGUACCCGGAUGAGAUAUGUCAGCUGCCGAGAUGAGAAUGGCUCUGUGGCUGACGAGAGUGCCUGUGCUACCCUGCCUAGACCAGUGGCAAAGGAAGAAUGUUCUGUGACACCCUGUGGGCAAUGGAAGGCCUUGGACUGGAGCUCUUGCUCUGUGACCUGUGGGCAAGGUAGGGCAACCCGGCAAGUGAUGUGUGUCAACUACAGUGACCACGUGAUCGAUCGGAGUGAGUGUGACCAGGAUUAUAUCCCAGAAACUGACCAGGACUGUUCCAUGUCACCAUGCCCUCAAAGGACCCCAGACAGUGGCUUAGCUCAGCACCCCUUCCAAAAUGAGGACUAUCGUCCCCGGAGCGCCAGCCCCAGCCGCACCCACGUGCUCGGUGGAAACCAGUGGAGAACUGGCCCCUGGGGAGCAUGUUCCAGUACCUGUGCUGGCGGAUCCCAGCGGCGUGUUGUUGUAUGUCAGGAUGAAAAUGGAUACACCGCAAACGACUGUGUGGAGAGAAUAAAACCUGAUGAGCAAAGAGCCUGUGAAUCCGGCCCUUGUCCUCAGUGGGCUUAUGGCAGCUGGGGAGAGUGCACUAAGCUGUGUGGUGGAGGCAUAAGAACAAGACUGGUGGUCUGUCAGAGGUCCAACGGCGAACGGUUUCCAGAUUUGAGCUGUGAAAUUCUUGAUAAACCUCCUGAUCGUGAGCAGUGUAACACAAAUGCUUGUCCACACGACGCUGCAUGGAGUACUGGCCCUUGGAGCUCGUGUUCUGUCUCUUGUGGUCGAGGGCAUAAACAACGAAAUGUUUACUGCAUGGCAAAAGAUGGAAGCCAUUUAGAGAGUGAUUACUGUAAACACCUGGCUAAGCCACAUGGGCACAGAAAGUGCCGAGGAGGAAGAUGCCCCAAAUGGAAAGCUGGCGCUUGGAGUCAGUGCUCUGUGUCCUGUGGCCGAGGCGUACAGCAGAGGCAUGUGGGCUGUCAGAUCGGAACACACAAAAUAGCCAGAGAGACCGAGUGCAACCCGUACACCAGACCGGAGUCGGAACGUGACUGCCAAGGCCCACGGUGUCCCGUCUACACUUGGAGGGCAGAGGAAUGGCAAGAAUGUACCAAGACCUGCGGCGAAGGCUCCAGGUACCGCAAGGUGGUGUGUGUGGAUGACAACAAAAACGAGGUGCAUGGUGCACGCUGUGACGUGAGCAAGCGGCCGUCGGACCGCGAAAGCUGUAGUUUGCAACCCUGCGAGUAUGUCUGGAUCACAGGAGAAUGGUCAGAGGUACCGUCCUGGGGACUGUAACCAUCGUCAGCUCAGCCAUGGCCUGAGAGCGGCAGAGGGAUGAGUGCAGGAAUGUGGGAGACUUGAGGCUACCCGCCCGAUCUGCCACUGUGAACUGUGUGUUUUCUGACAAGUCCUCAGCUUUCCCAAACUAGAAUUCCUUGUAUGCAAAGUGGGAGAGAUGUGUGAGAUGGUCUCUAAGUCCCUUCAGGUCUACAUUCUGUGAUUCACCUUGAUGUCCUAUUGGCAUAAAGAAGAAAUUAUUACGGGUGCUGCAAACUCAUAGGAUGCUUUGAGGUGCCUGAAGACAGUUAAGUAUAAGAAAAUAUUGUAGUGCCAGGGAUACAACAGGGAGAGGUGGCAACUGUGACAAACUAGCACAUGCUGUGUGAAGGGAGCAGAAUCUCUUUCACUCCAGCUGGGGCCAUGCAGAAAUGUGGUCUAGCGUUACCAAACCUGAUAUUUCAAGAGAGGCUAAAAAUCUGGACUAGUAGAUGAGAUUUCCUAACUUGAAAACGGGGGCUCAAAUUUUUGCUUUUAAAACAUUGUAAGGGGCAAACAAACCCCUUUUAUAAACCAGAUGUGUUUUGCCUGUUUAACAAACAGCUUCAGAGGAAGAAAAUAAUUUUCUAUAAUAUCCACAUUAUCUCAAGUACCAUUUUUUCAUGUAUCCUCCUGUGUACAAUGCUUAUCUAGACCCUUUUUAAUGGUAAUAAGCCAGUAGUAAUCAU
This 5127-nucleotide small RNA is filed under the name Pongo abelii (Sumatran orangutan). RNAcentral describes it as "retained intron". Lineage: Eukaryota; Metazoa; Chordata; Mammalia; Primates; Hominidae. The record is from RNAcentral.